This 354-nucleotide long non-coding RNA is filed under the name Mytilus galloprovincialis (Mediterranean mussel). The record is from RNAcentral. Lineage: Eukaryota; Metazoa; Mollusca; Bivalvia; Mytilida; Mytilidae.
UUUUAAGUGAACAAAUAUUUCUGGAAAAUCAGGGUAAAUGGCAGGAAUAUUACCAAAUCUAGAAAACUGGUAAAUUAAGAAACAAAUCGUUAACACAGCUGAACAACUCAUUUUCAUACUUGUUCAAAGUUUUGAAGUACUUACUAUAAUAUAACUCAUAUUGUGGCUGUUUUUGUCUUAUUUGAAAUAUGAUAUGAUAGCUUUCCUUAAAGUUUGAAAUGAGUGCCAGUAUUCUAACAUAGAACAUGUAUGACUUGGUGGUAUUCUAUGGAUAAUAAAAUGUGGAAAAUGGUGUUCUGAGUUUAUGAAGGUAAAAUCUUAUCAAAUUGUUUGAACAUUUUUAACCCCAAAAAG